This 722-nucleotide ribosomal RNA is filed under the name uncultured Serratia sp. RNAcentral's name for it is "bacterial SSU rRNA". It matches the Rfam family "Bacterial small subunit ribosomal RNA", at positions 788 to 1509 of the family's 1533-position model. Lineage: Bacteria; Pseudomonadati; Pseudomonadota; Gammaproteobacteria; Enterobacterales; Yersiniaceae. The record is from RNAcentral.
UGGUAGUCCACGCUGUAAACGAUGUCGACUUGGAGGUUGUUCCCUUGAGGAGUGGCUUCCGGAGCUAACGCGUUAAGUCGACCGCCUGGGGAGUACGGCCGCAAGGUUAAAACUCAAAUGAAUUGACGGGGGCCCGCACAAGCGGUGGAGCAUGUGGUUUAAUUCGAUGCAACGCGAAGAACCUUACCUGGCCUUGACAUCCACAGAAGAAUUCAGAGAUGGAUUUGUGCCUUCGGGAACUGUGAGACAGGUGCUGCAUGGCUGUCGUCAGCUCGUGUUGUGAAAUGUUGGGUUAAGUCCCGCAACGAGCGCAACCCUUAUCCUUUGUUGCCAGCGAUUUGGUCGGGAACUCAAAGGAGACUGCCGGUGAUAAACCGGAGGAAGGUGGGGAUGACGUCAAGUCAUCAUGGCCCUUACGGCCAGGGCUACACACGUGCUACAAUGGCGCAUACAAAGAGAAGCGAGCCUGCGAAGGGAAGCGGACCUCAUAAAGUGCGUCGUAGUCCGGAUCGGAGUCUGCAACUCGACUCCGUGAAGUCGGAAUCGCUAGUAAUCGUGGAUCAGAAUGCCACGGUGAAUACGUUCCCGGGCCUUGUACACACCGCCCGUCACACCAUGGGAGUGGGUUGCAAAAGAAGUAGGUAGCUUAACCUUCGGGAGGGCGCUUACCACUUUGUGAUUCAUGACUGGGGGUGAAGUCGUAACAAGGUACCAAGGGCGAA